RNAcentral lists this ribosomal RNA (506 nucleotides) under uncultured bacterium. Its description in RNAcentral is "partial 16S ribosomal RNA". It matches the Rfam family "Bacterial small subunit ribosomal RNA", at positions 29 to 523 of the family's 1533-position model. The record is from RNAcentral.
AGUGAACGCUGGCGGUAGGCCUAACACAUGCAAGUCGAACGGCAGCACAGGAGAGCUUGCUCUCUGGGUGGCGAGUGGCGGACGGGUGAGGAAUACAUCGGAAUCUACUCUGUCGUGGGGGAUAACGUAGGGAAACUUACGCUAAUACCGCAUACGACCUACGGGUGAAAGCAGGGGAUCUUCGGACCUUGCGCGAUUGAAUGAGCCGAUGUCGGAUAAGCUAGUUGGCGGGGUAAAGGCCCACCAAGGCGACGAGCCGUAGCUGGUCGGAGAGGAUGAUCAGCCACACGGGAACUGAGACACGGUCCAGACCCCUACGGGAGGAAGCAGUGGGGAAUAUUGGACAAUGGGCGCAAGCCUGUUCCAGCCAUACCGCGUGGGUGAAGAAGGCCUUCGGGUUGUAAAGCCCUUUUGUUGGGAAAGAAAUCCAGCUGGCUAAUACCCGGUUGGGAUGACGGUACCCAAAGAAUAAGCACCGGCUAACUUCGUGCCAGCCGCCGCAGUAA